This 68-nucleotide transfer RNA is filed under the name Vespa basalis. Its description in RNAcentral is "tRNA-Asn". Lineage: Eukaryota; Metazoa; Arthropoda; Insecta; Hymenoptera; Vespidae. The record is from RNAcentral.
UUAAUUGAAGCCAAAAAGAGGCAAAUUAUUGUUAAUAAUUACAUUGAAUAUUACUUAUUCCAAUUAAA